Long non-coding RNA from Triplophysa dalaica, 1379 nucleotides. RefSeq lists it as uncharacterized. NCBI's taxonomy places the organism in Eukaryota, Metazoa, Chordata, Actinopteri, Cypriniformes, Nemacheilidae. The transcript has 3 exons. The record is from RefSeq and is a predicted model, not a curated record.
ACGGUUGUUUUUUAAAUGUUGAACAACGCGCCCGCCGUAGACUCGGUAAAAGUUACAUGCUUCGACAGUUGGGAUACCACACUCGCUCGUGAUUAUUUUGUGGUGUAAUUCAAAUUUGCAAAUGCAGUCAUCCGUUAAAUCGAGCGCCCAAAUUAAAAUGAGUCACCAUAGCUUGAGGUAAGUCGAUGUUCACGGAGGAUAGCCCGGUAAAGUGAUUAAUGUACGUAACCAUCUAGAUAUACAGUUUAUGUAUCGGAGGCCAGAUGAGAGCUUGAGCAAAAGACGUUAGCGACACCCUCAUUGUAUAGCAGGCCUGUCUCCCAAAUAGGACCGUUGGAGGGUGGGAGUGAGACCCGUUACAAAAUACUAGUGUGACAAUUUCUUGACCGUGACAUCCCUAACGUUAGUUGGAUUACAUUUCUGUAUAAGUACGGUUUUAAGUGUAAGUUACUCUGUUUAAUUUGCUUAGAGUUUGUUUGUAGAGUCACUUAUACUAAAAUGUAGUUAAAAUGUAAAAUGCUUAAAGAUAAUUGUAUAGUCACUAUUAACUAUUACUAUUGUCACAUGUAUAAUUGUUUGUUUUAGGACACACUUUGCCAUGCAGGCCACUGGAUGCUGACUACUGAAGGUUAGGUUGUGUGUGACGGUGCUCAGCACAGCUUCAUGUCUGGCCUUCCCACUCUGUUCAUAGCAUGUUACAUAUCCAGUCUUGAGUACCAGGAUGGGGCAGCGUGUACUUGGAGUCCAAUGAAAGAUAUUAAUCCAGAGAGUGGAACAAGCAGCGUCAUCUAAAAUGCCAGGAUACAGAAGAAACAGGUUGCAGUGAACCCACAUGUCGCCGCUCUUCUAAACACAAUGAUGAAUAUUCAGUGUAAUCGAUGAAAAUUCCAGCUACUUGUUGUGCUCUGAUGGAUCAAGAUGUGGACCGUUUUACAGACUCACUUGGGCCUUGUUUUGCAAUGUUGUUUCAUGAUGGUAAUGUUGGUUAACGUGUUGUUUAAACAUUAAUGUUUAAAGAGCCAUGUUGGAUACUAUGAAGUUCUUACUGAAUAAAAUUAUUUCAUGUACAACAACGUACACAAUUUGUCUGUAAUGUAUUUUUGUAUCAAUUAAAAAAAAAUAAACACUGUAUAUCCAGUAUGCAAAACAUACUGGAUAUACAGUGAUUUAUGUAUUUCUUCUAAAUAAAGUAAAUUAAAAUCAAGCAAUUUGCUGUAAAAAAUACAGCAUUAUACUGUUGCUAUUCAAAAUUACAGUUUUUCCUGUAUUCUGCAAUUACAGUAAAUGGCUGUAAAUUAAAUUACAGUACUGUGGCUGUACAAUUUACAGUAACUGGCUGGCAACCCUGCUGCCAGUAGUUUACUGUAAAUUUUACAGGA